Molecule: ribosomal RNA, 438 nt
Filed under: uncultured bacterium
Lineage: Bacteria
Description: bacterial SSU rRNA
Rfam family: Bacterial small subunit ribosomal RNA
Source: RNAcentral
UACGGAAGGCACAGUGGGGAAUAUUGCACAAUGGGCGCAAGCCUGAUGCAGCCAUGCCGCGUGUAUGAAGAAGGCCUUCGGGCUGUAAAGUACUUUCAGUCGUGAGGAAGGUGUUAAGGUUAAUAACCUUAGCAAUUGACGUUAGCGACAGAAGAAGCACCGGCUAACUCCGUGCCAGCAGCCGCGGUAAUACGGAGGGUGCGAGCGUUAAUCGGAAUUACUGGGCGUAAAGGGCACGCAGGCGGUUAAUUAAGUUGGAUGUGAAAUCCCCGGGCUUAACCUGGGAAUGGCAUUCAAGACUGGUUAGCUAGAGUCUUGUAGAGGGGGUAGAAUUCCAUGUGUAGCGGUGAAAUGCGUAGAGAUGUGGAGGAAUACCGGUGGCGAAGGCGGCCCCUGGACAAAGACUGACGCUCAUGUGCGAAAGCGUGGGGAGCAAAC